Cololabis saira (Pacific saury) is the source of this 400-nucleotide long non-coding RNA. RefSeq lists it as uncharacterized. Lineage: Eukaryota; Metazoa; Chordata; Actinopteri; Beloniformes; Belonidae. The transcript is spliced from 2 exons. The record is from RefSeq and is a predicted model, not a curated record.
GCAACUGAACCUGAUUCAGGGCGUGUUGCUAUUGUUGGCAGGUGUAGAAGCCGGUUGAGCAGGUUGUUCCCUGACUGCCGCUCCGUCGGGCCCUCCUCCCUGCUACUCUCUCCAGGACGACUGCUGAUUCACUCACACACUUUGGCAGGUCAGGGAAGAGAGUUUUUUGCCGGUACACCUGUUCUUAUCUGACAGAGCCAAAGCAUCAGAGUGAAACAAACAGGAAAAUGAAACAUUUAGCAAUCACAGCGGGCCUGCUUCUGCUUGUCCAAGUGUUUCCGCUUGCAAAGCUCCAACAUUCAACCGACUCACCAAGACGCACAAUUGAUAAAAGCUGGCUCCGGGACACAGACAAAAAUACUCUUCAAAGUGAAAAUGCUGCAUCUACUAACGAAGAAAG